Long non-coding RNA from Esox lucius (northern pike), 2499 nucleotides. The record is from Ensembl. NCBI's taxonomy places the organism in Eukaryota, Metazoa, Chordata, Actinopteri, Esociformes, Esocidae.
CUGUUUAUGACUUAGUUAUAUUCUUAGAUAGAUUUCAUAGGUGCUUUGUUUAUUUUCAACAUAAAUAUAUAUCUUUUUUUAAAUCAUUUUUUACACAUUUUCUGCAGCAUUUCUUUGUAACUUGAUAUGUAACUGGUUGACAGAAUUCCGAAUUGACAUCAUUUGUGAGUGAUAUGUUCUUGUUAUAUGUGCCAAUGGCCACAGUAAAAGCCAAGCAAUGUUAUACACAAGAUUACUAACCAGAAACAUGAAAUCCACACCAAGCAACAUCAUUUGAACCAAAUUUGAUGAAAUAUUUAACACAAGUUCAUAUGAUGAUUCUUAGAGCCCCAAUGAAUUAGAAUAUAAUCAUUUGACAGCCAUCUAAGCUACGACCAGUUAUGCAUUUUACUGUAUUUGACAUAAUAUGCAUGCUUGGAUUGUAAUGGAAUCAUUACCUUAAAAACCUCACCUAAAAGUUUAUGGUGAUAUCUCUGCAUUCUUACUGACAAAUAAAUAUAGCAACUUAUCAUUGCUUGAAUGCAAUUUGCUGUUGUGGCAUAGAGUACAGAAAUAUGGAUAUACAGUAGCUACUUUAAAAACAUAUACCAAUGCAUUAACAUAUCAAGGGAAUUUGAAUGUUGUACUGAAAGGGUUGAUUGUUAUUUGUCUUAGGCCGAUGAUUCUAAUUAUUAUUGACUUAAUCUGCACGUUAUGGGUGAUUAUGUGUUUCUGUGUGUAAGGUUCAUCCAACUACAGACAUCCUAGCACACAAUUGCUAAUGUGACAGUCUAUAACCUACAGCGUACUUCUGACAUGAAACAAUACCUAUACAUCACUUACAGAGAGACUCACAUGGCCCUAUGUACUUAUAUCAGCACAAAAAAAGAAAACCACAAAGACAUAAAAACAAACAAGAAAACAACGCCUUCUGAUCCUCAGAAUACCCCCCCACCCUUUUUGCUGCAAGGACAAUAAUCUGCUUUCCAGCUGAACUAUGAAUAUGGUGAGGGAAGUGGGUAUAUACUGGCUCAACAAGGUGAGCUUCUACCUACGUAUCUACAGUGUUUGCCAGCCCCCACAGAUCAUUGCGGUAAGUACAACUUCCCCUGGCCGGCAAUACCAUAUUGCUACUUCUUAGCCACAGCUAAGUAACUUGUUUGAACCGUACUGCAGUGCUGCCUUGGACGACGCUGAGAUCUAGGAUCAGUUUAACCGAACCCCUAAACAUGAUCUCAACCGUCAACCACCUGACACAGAUCACAGUAGAUUUGAGCUUGCCAAACAACAGACCCAGGAUCUGAUUACACCGCUUCACCAUGAAGGGGAACUGGUUUUGAAAGGGAAGGGUGGGGGUUGCUAGCUUGGCUGUCACCCUUACAGUCUAAUGGAUUGGCUAUUACUCGGUUUGACUCUGUUCAAUGCUCUGGUUUGGACCCAUAUGGCCAAUAGUCUCUGAGUAGAUGUACUAAUCUGGGAUGUGGGUUUUGCCUUUUAGAUCCUUGAAAGUCAUUUGAGCGGUGAGUGGUGGGGGAUCCUAGAUCAGGACCGUUCCUCUGAGCCACGUGGUGAAUCCGGGCUCUGGUCUACAUUAUAAGAAUGUCACACGCAGAUGUGUGAAUAACACGCAAAGAUAAAUGCAUAGGAUACAAAUCAGUUCCGGCACGAUACAAUAAUAAACAGCGCGAUUCAAAAUCAGGUCGCAAAAACCGCGAUCGACAAAUAAAAGUCUUGGUCAUUGGCACUGGGGAUAGGGACGAGGGAAGGUGAAUUGGAGAAGAGCUGAGAGGGUUGAAGUUGAAGCUAAAUGAGAAAAUCGCGAGUCCACGCCUUUCCAGACAGGGCCACGACUAUUGGGACUAGUAUGAGUGACUGCACAAUCACAGGAAGGUCUGUGUGUGAGUCUUGCAGAAUUCAGGACAUCUGUGAAUGCCUUAGCUUGCACACAGAUGGACUCUGUCCUCACAUUUUUAAAGAUAUCUAUGCAGACCUCGUAGAAAGGUAUUCAGCAAACGUAAAUAGUCCCCUUAUUUCUGAAUGCCACUGAACUGGUUGGAAGCUAGCUUCACCAGUGUGGAGUUGCAACCAGUUUGCUCAUAGACACUGAAUGUUACACAUUAGUUCAGUUUUAGUUUUGAUUAUGUAUAUGCACUGGAUUCUGCAAAGGCCUUUUUUUCAUAGGGACAAAACAGUGUUAUAUUUCUUUCAUUUGGAGUAGUUCUCAUUUGGAUCAACAGUCUUGAUUUUUUUAUUGAUGCAUGUAGGGGUUAAGAAGGUUCAUAAUGAAUUAGGGAUUAGGCAUGAGAUUAAUGUCAUGAACUGGUGUGUGUGUGUGUCUGAGUUCUUGUUCAUGCAGUACCGGACCUUUUACAUCACAGAAUAUGAACGAUUUAUGUAGAUCAUUCUUUUCCAGGUUUGUCUACCAUUUCGAGCUUUCCUUCUAUUUUUCAGGCCAAAAAUAUUAGCCUGUUGAUUGAUCAGAUGUAAUGUGUGAAUAUAUAUAUAUAUAUAUAUAUUUAU